This is a long non-coding RNA of Eubalaena glacialis (North Atlantic right whale), 2364 nucleotides long. RefSeq lists it as uncharacterized. The record is from RefSeq and is a predicted model, not a curated record. NCBI's taxonomy places the organism in Eukaryota, Metazoa, Chordata, Mammalia, Artiodactyla, Balaenidae. The transcript has 4 exons.
AAGUUGGAGAGGUUGUUCUUCCUCUUUCCUUACGGCACGGUCGAGGGAGGAACCGGGCCCGGAGGGGGUUGGGCAGGUGGCCCAAACCUGCCAGCCAACCUAGCCCCCGGGUCCAGCCUCCGCCUGAGACCCAUCUUGGUCCUCAGCGUUCUACACGUUUCUGCUUCCCCCUCCCCCCAGUUCCGUUGGGAAGUCGGAAUUUCCAGAUCUGCUCUGUAUAGGACUGUCGGUGAUCCGGCUGGAGACCUUGAGGUAAAUCAGCAUCAGUCUAAGGGCCUUGGUGCCCUGACUCGGAUCCCUGGAUUCAAGGAACCUGAAGACCCACAUCCCAGCUAUUCCUGUGAACCUGCCCAAGACCUCAAAUACCUCUUCAAGAAGGUGAUCCCCAAGCCAAGUGACAACCGCAUUGAUAAGUAACUCAUCUUGCUGCCCAUGCCAGAAGCCUGGAACUAAAUUCUGCAAUGCACCAGCGGUUGACAUCACUGCCAUUACCCCUAAUUUUAAUUGCGAAGACCAAACAGGCAACGCCACCCAUUGGUGCCUCCAAGAUCAGCUGGCCGGUGGGAUGUGUGUCUCCUGGACAGGCCUGGCGCCAAGCGUCUAACACACAUCUUCCCUGCGUGUGGUACAUGUUUUUUGCCUCUCCCAAAGCCUUCGAAAAGACUCAUACACCCUUAUUCAGUGGUGGGAUCCUCUCCUCCAACUGUACCGGAACCCCCGCCUUGGGCGGACUCUACUGAAGUGGUUUAAUUCCACAACAGUACGUCAGGCAUGUGCCCCUCUCAGACAUCUAUUCCUUUGUGGUCCAGGUGCAAACUGACUGUCCUCUUCAAAAAACCCCAAUUCCUCUUUCCCUUUCUUGGGAUUAGCUGUGGCCUUUCCUUGUAUAGACAGUGCUCUGUUUACAGGACAAUGUAACGCUAGGCCAACUGAGUAACCAAACAAACCCAGGUACUGCCAUCUAUAACAUCACCCACGCCUGGGGCAAAAGGGCAAUUGGCCUCCUUUCGCCAGGAAAUGGAGCUGCCGUUGGUUUGGUGGCCCCUUGGGGAGGCUUUGUUUAUCAUGAAAUGGUGCUCCGCAAUCUUUCAGUUGCCCUGUCCUGAGUGCAUCCACAGGGAAUGCACUCACCAGACUCUCAUUGUCUCUAAGUUCCUUGGCUAGUAAAGUGAUGGCUAAUAGACUGGCCUUGGACUUCCUCCAAGCCGAACAAGGAGGAGUAUGUGCAGUUAUCGAUACGACAUGUUGCACCUACAUCAAUAAUACUGGGCUAGUAGAAGAGGACGUCAAGAAAAUGUGACCACGCCAAAUGGCUUCAUUCCUUCGGACAGGGUAACCCAAGCGCUGACUAGACUGCAAUUGAGGUGUUACCAAGUGUGACCUGGUUCUUACCCCCUGCUUGGGCCUCUAGUUGCCAUAAUGCUUUUACUGAACUUUGGCCCCUGCCUUUUUUUUUUUUUUUUAAUUUAUUUAAUUUCUUUAUUUUUGGCUGCGUUGGGUCUUUAUUGCUGCGUGUGGGCUUUCUCUAGUUGUGGCGAGCGGGGGCUACUCUUCCUUGUGGUGUGUGGGCUUCUCAUUGCGGUGGCGUCUGUUGCUGCAGAGCACGGGCUCUAGGCGCGCGGGCUUCAGUAGUUGUGGCACACGGGCUCAGUAGUUGUGGCUCGCGGGCUCUAGAGCGCAAGCUCAGUAGUUGUGGCACGUGGGCUUAGUUGCUCCGCAGCAUGUGGGAUCUUCCCGGACCAGGGCUCGAACCCGUGUCCCCUGCGCCGGCAGGCGGAUUCCCAACCACUGUGCCACCAGGGAAGCCCUUGGCCCCUGCCUUUUUAAUCUGCUUGUUAAGUUUGCUUCCAGGUUGCAACAAUUCCACGUCAAGAUGAUAGUGAUGCAGGAAUUCCAGCCAUUCCCUGACAUAGAUCCUACCAGAAUAACAGCGGAAGUCACCCUGGGGCCCCUGGACAAGACAGGGCGAGAGUUCCGUGGCCCCAAUUAGGUAGGGUCCACGAGCCCAGUGCCAGCCUGAAGAAGCUGCAGAAGACAGACCUCCGCCCCUUAUCCUCCCAAUAAAGAGUUCUUGGGGUCCACGUCACUUGGGAGAUUUGAGGUAAGAGAUAGGUGGCUGAGCAGCUGCAACCAUUCUCCUGCUGACACUUCAAGAUAAGGUACUAGCAGGAGCUUCAGGCCCUGACUGGGUGGAAGACAAAGCGACUACAGUUUCCUCAUUCUUGUGGUCAAGGGGAUUUUCCAGCCCAACACAUCUGUUUCACAGUCUUGGUCUCUGCUGGAUUCUUGGUCUCGUUGGAUUCUUUCCUCAAAGGAGACAUCUGUAAGUCUCUGAAGUGCUUAGCAAUAAAGCAAAGGUGGUGA